Molecule: ribosomal RNA, 456 nt
Filed under: uncultured Anaerolineaceae bacterium
Lineage: Bacteria; Bacillati; Chloroflexota; Anaerolineae; Anaerolineales; Anaerolineaceae
Description: bacterial SSU rRNA
Rfam family: Bacterial small subunit ribosomal RNA
Source: RNAcentral
UGACGGGCCCGCACAAGCAGCGGAGCGUGUGGUUUAAUUCGUUGCUACACGAAGAACCUUACCUGGGUUUGACAUAAUGGUGGUAGGGAUCCGAAAGGUGACCGACCUUCGGGGAGCCAUUUACAGGUGUUGCAUGGCUGUCGUCAGCUCGUGUCGCGAGAUGUUCGGUUAAGUCCGCUAACGAGCGCAACCCUCGCUGUGUGUUAUAUGUGUCACACAGGACUGCUGGUAUUAAGCCGGAGGAAGGUGGGACGACGUCAAGUCAGCAUGACCUUUAUAUCCAGGGCUACACACACGCUACAAUGGUCAGCACAAUAGGUUGCCAAGUCGUGAGACGGAGCCAAUCCUCCAAAGCUGGCCUCAGUUCAGAUUGUAGGCUGCAACCCGCCUGCAUGAAGUUGGAGUUGCUAGUAACCGCAGGUCAGCUAUACUGCGGUGAAUACGUUCCCGGGGAUU